This 1176-nucleotide long non-coding RNA is filed under the name Parus major (Great Tit). RNAcentral describes it as "lncRNA (ENSPMJG00000003146.1)". Lineage: Eukaryota; Metazoa; Chordata; Aves; Passeriformes; Paridae. The record is from RNAcentral.
GAUUUCCCGGAUAAAUUCCCGGAUAAGUUCCGGGAUAAAUUCCCGAUUUCCCGGAUAAAUUCCCGGAUAAAUUCCGGGAUAAAUUCCCGAUUUCCCGGAUAAAUUCCCCGACAAUUCCCGAUUUCCCGAGUCUCUCCCGUCCCCGCCUUUGCGACCUCCCCCUGUCCCCAAAAGCGCCGCCCCCGAAGGUCCCCAAAAAUCCUCAAAAAUCCCCAAAAGUCCCCGAAGGUCCCCAAAGGUCCCCAAAAGUCCCCAAAGGCCACCCCUGUCCGUGUCCCGGCUCCUCCCGUGUCCCAGUUCUGUCCCCUCCUGUCCCCAGCGGUGUCACCUCCUGUCCCCAAAGGCCCCGCCCAUCCCAGAGGUGUCACCUCCCGUCCCCAAAGGUGUCACCUCCUGUCCCCAAAGGUGUCACCUCCUGUCCCCUGUCCCCUCCCCCUGUCCCGGUUCCGUCCCCUCCUGUCCCCAAAGGCCCCGCCCAUCCCAGAGGUGCCACCUCCCGUCCCCAGAGGUGUCACCUCCUGUCCCCUCCCCCUGUCCCAGUUGCGUCCCCUCCCGUCCCCACCUGUCGCUCCUGUCCCCGUCGCUGUCGCUCCUGUCCCUCUGUCCGUGCGUCUGUCCGUCUGUCCCCGGGUCCCUCUGUCCUGUCCGUCUGUCCCUCUGUCCCCGUGUCCGUCUGUCCCCGGGUCCGUCUGUCCCUCCUGCCCCUCUGUCUGUCCCCGUGUCCGUCUGUCCUUCUGUCCCCGGGUCCCUCUGUCCUUCCUGUCCCUCUGUCCCCCGCAUCCCUCUGCCUGUCCCCUCUCUCCCCUCUGUCCGUCUGUCUGUCCCCUGUGUCCGUCUGUCCCCGGUGUCGGUCUGUCCCUCUGUCUGUCCGUCUGUCCCCCCUGUCCCCGGUGUCCGUCUGUCCCUGUCCCUCUGUUCCCCCUGUCCGUCUGUCCCCGGUGUCCGUCUGUCCCCCUGUCUGUCCCGGUGUCCGUCCCUCCGUCUGUCCCCGGUGUCCGUCGGUCUGUCCGUCUGUCCCCGCCGUGUCCGUCUGUCCGGAUGUCUCCGGUGUCCGUCCGUCCGUCCCGGGGUCCCCUGGCUCAGCUCUUGGCGGCCGCGGCGUGUCCGGGCUGCGGGGAGCCCGUGCGGGACCCGCUGCGGCUGCCGUGUGGUCACUGCUGCUGCGGUCAGUGCCUG